UACGAAGGGGGCUAGCGUUGUCCGGAUUUAUUGGGCGUAAAGAGCGUGUAGGCGGUUUGGUAGGUCCGCUGUGAAAACUCGAGGCUCAACCUCGAGACGCCGGUGGAAACCAUCAGACUAGAGUCCGGAAGAGGAGAGUGGAAUUCCUGGUGUAGCGGUGAAAUGCGCAGAUAUCAGGAGGAACACCGGUGGGCGAAGGCGGUUCUCCUGGGCCUU
This 216-nucleotide ribosomal RNA is filed under the name uncultured bacterium. RNAcentral describes it as "partial 16S ribosomal RNA". It matches the Rfam family "Bacterial small subunit ribosomal RNA", at positions 524 to 737 of the family's 1533-position model. The record is from RNAcentral.